GGGAUUACCUGGGUGUGUCUAAGGUGUUUUUUUUUCUUUUUCUAAACACCUUAGACACACCCAGGAAAUCCCUA
Molecule: microRNA precursor, 74 nt
Filed under: Pelobates cultripes (western spadefoot toad)
Lineage: Eukaryota; Metazoa; Chordata; Amphibia; Anura; Pelobatidae
Source: RNAcentral